RNAcentral lists this transfer RNA (153 nucleotides) under Vicia faba (fava bean). RNAcentral describes it as "tRNA-Thr". The stretch from base 40 to 111 matches the Rfam family "tRNA". The record is from RNAcentral. Lineage: Eukaryota; Viridiplantae; Streptophyta; Magnoliopsida; Fabales; Fabaceae.
UAUUGGCUGAUUCCGUAUUGGGGAAUUUACUCAAACGCCGCCCUUUUAACUCAGUGGUAGAGUAACGCCAUGGUAAGGCGUAAGUCAUCGGUUCAAAUCCGAUAAGGGGCUUUUUGUAUCAAAAAAUGAUAACAGUAGGUAUUCCUAUUUGAA